CGAAACGACUCCUUGGCGAUCGAUUCCGAUCGCGCUCGUCGCUCCGCCUAUUCCCUUUCCCUUUCUAGCCUUUUUCCUUUUCUGGAAAACCCAGCCGUGCGCCAAUUCCCUUUUCCUUUUCCAUCCCCUCCUCCUCCACUGCAGCUACCUUGCUGCUUCCCCUCCCCCUCCUCGGCGAGGUCAGCGCGGGUGCCACGCCCGCACGAGCGCCGCGAGGGAGGUGGCCAAUACGGCGAGGCGCCGCGCCCGCACGAGCGCCGUGAGGUCAAAGUGCAGCAGCGGCCAAUACGGCGAGCCGCAGCGACCGCACGGGCUCCGCGAGGUCCAGGGGCGGAAGCAGCCAAUACGGCGAGGCGGUGCCUGUCCGGUGACCGUAGGGCCUCCGCGGCGUGCUCGACCUUGCUCCUACGCCUCCUACCCGGGCUGGACCUCCCCCCGUGCGUCGUCCCCACCCGCAUCACCAAGCUUCCCAAUGGCGUCCGCGACUCCGCGUCGCCUCCGAGGAUGUCCGGGGAGCAGCACAGGGAUGGCGAUUUUGGCAGCUCUGCUCUGAUGAUGCCGUCAAAGCACAGAUUGCUCGUUUUCAGCAUGAGGAAGAAGAUGAUUUAAAGGUUUUGGAAGGACUAAUCCAGUGAGGAUGGUGGACAAGAAAAUAGAAGGAAUGUGUAUGUCAAAACUGAAGAAAAGCAUACCACCUUGGUGGCUCUGUUCUCACAAAAGAAGAUUGUUUACUGUUUCACACAAAAUCAGAUUUUUGCCAGCAACUCAUCCACCUUGGUCUCAUCUUUCGUUGACGGCCGAGCAUCAAGUAGCAGUAUCUCUGCGAAAAUCCAUAGAAGUAUCGGAACCGGCUGUGGAUAUGGGAAAAAGAAAAUGCUUAAAUGCAUCUCUGAAACAAUGGCAUUUUUUCAGUGAAUGAACUGAGACUAGCAGUUCAUUUUUAUUCUGUUGGGGGAAUCUAUUUUGGACGAAAUUCUGAACACUUUUCAAAGAGAUGGCAGCUGCCACUGUUCAAGAAUUUACUAAUUCUCUGAAAAUUGAUUUGUUUUUCUGUAGCAAGUUGUCGUAUGGGGACGCACGGCGGGAGGUCGACGGCGGCCAUCGUCUCCGAGCUCAUGAACACCCAGAUUUGAUAGGGAGCAGAACAUGGAUCUCGAUUUUUGGCAGCUCUGUUCUGCUAGCAUGGUUAGGUAGUUCCCGUCACGCACAGCUUUCUCGUUUUCAGCAUGAGGAGGAGGAAGAUUAUUUAGUUUUUUUGUAUGGACUAAUCCAGUGAGGAUGCUGGGCAAGAAAAUAGAAGGAAUGUGGAUCUCAGGACUGAAGAAAAGCAGGCCUCCUUGGUGGCUCUGUGCUCAGAAAAGCAGAUUCGCAAAACUCUGAUUUUUCGACAGAAACUCAUCCGCCUCAGUCUCGUCUUUCGUUGACGGCAGAGCACCACGUAGCAGUGUUCGGGAGCGCAUCUUUGCAAAAAUCUAUACAAGUAUCAGAACCGGUUGUGGAGAUGGGAAAAAGGAAAUCCCUAAUUGCAUAUCUGAAACCAUGACAUUUUUCGUGGAAGGGCUGGGCGUUUCGGCACCAAGGGGAUCACCAUAACUUUUGUUUCGCCAGCCUCGGACUCAGAUGUCCUUAACCAAGCAGGUGCAAGAACGGUUUGAGGUGGACAUCAAGGAGCUGCAUGAGCAGAUUGACACUUCAACAUACAUGGCUUCAUAGACGACGACCCGGACAUUGCAAGGACGACAGAAGGAGAAGAUGGAAGAUGGGAUCCUUGAAAGUUUGCUUCAAGUGAUGUUGUUUUUUGCCUGCCUGCCUGCCUACUCUGCUGCCAGCAGCGCCGGUCCUGGAGUUUUGGUGGCCCCGGGGCGAACUCAAAUGAAUGGGCCCAGUGACAGCAUUGGAGGAAAAAAUUGAUUCCAUACAUUGAUUAAAAAAAAUUGCAAAGCUAUAAUAAACAACAGUAAUUUUCCUUGGUAAAUAACACUCCAAGUCAUAAAUAAUAAUUUCAUACUUUAGGUGUAAAUCAAACAUCAUAGAAGUCACAGAGCAUAACAAAAAAAGAAAUGACACACUAGCGAACCUCCAAGCCUUCAGUAAUCAUGAGAAACGGCUCCGUGCAUUUUUUGAUGCAAAAUCAUUAAAUGAAAACGUCAAGAUAAAUGUAGUCCGUUUCAAACAAAAGAUGUUGUUCCCUUGUAGGCCUUUUUCAAUCAGAAUAUCUCUUGAUUUAUUGUCAAGAGCGUCCCAGUUUAUAGGGUCAUAGAUAUCAAAAGGAGAAGAUCCUUGUUCAUCUACACUUUGCAGGAUUCUCACGGCCACUCAAAUAUUUAGGAGUCUCAUAUGGGCAUUGUGUUCCUCAAUUGUGGUCUCAUUCUCAGCAGAUACAUGUUUUUUAGGCAGCAUGUUUGGAAGAAAAAAGGAGUGAAGGUACCUGAAGGCCGCUGUAAAUCAGUGACAAUCUGUAUUCUUCAGGCUGCAGCUAUCCAAAAUCAAUCAAGGAAUCAAGAAGUCCAGGACCAAGCCGGCAACAACAUACGAUCCAACCCUACUCCAAGGCCACUACUGUUGUAAAAACAAGAAUAUAAAUUAAUAAGUGGAUUAAGAUUGAGGGCUCAGAUAAAUGCAUCA
Molecule: non-coding RNA, 2625 nt
Organism: Aegilops tauschii subsp. strangulata
Lineage: Eukaryota; Viridiplantae; Streptophyta; Magnoliopsida; Poales; Poaceae
Source: RefSeq, a predicted model, not a curated record